GGGCUAAAGCUUUUAGAAGCGCCGGUCUUUUAAUCCGUGUGAAGUUGGUUCACCCCGACUAGCCUAU
This 67-nucleotide transfer RNA is filed under the name Perna perna. RNAcentral describes it as "tRNA-Lys". Lineage: Eukaryota; Metazoa; Mollusca; Bivalvia; Mytilida; Mytilidae. The record is from RNAcentral.